CUAGGGGCUGCAAUUUGAUUUUGCCACCUUCCCUUUCUCUUAACAAAAGUGCUGUUUGACAUAUAUUUCAUGUUUAGUUCCAUGAAUUAAACUUUGUUUUGUUUGGAGAAUCUGGAGAGACUCUCACACCUCAUUUGAGACCCAGUACAGUGGACCACUGGACCCAGAUGCCUGCCAAGGGGCACCCUGGAAGGGGCUCUGGACCCAGCUCAAGAGACUAUGGUACCCAGUCAUCCUGUCAAACACUAAUCCAG
RNAcentral lists this long non-coding RNA (254 nucleotides) under Equus caballus (horse). RNAcentral describes it as "lncRNA (ENSECAG00000042870.2)". Lineage: Eukaryota; Metazoa; Chordata; Mammalia; Perissodactyla; Equidae. The record is from RNAcentral.